This 591-nucleotide ribosomal RNA is filed under the name obligately oligotrophic bacteria POC-8. RNAcentral's name for it is "bacterial SSU rRNA". It matches the Rfam family "Bacterial small subunit ribosomal RNA", at positions 58 to 647 of the family's 1533-position model. Lineage: Bacteria; Pseudomonadati; Bacteroidota. The record is from RNAcentral.
CAAGUCGAGGGGUAUAUGGUGCUUGCAUCAUAGAGACCGGCGCACGGGUGCGUAACGCGUAUGCAAUCUACCUUUCACAGGAGAAUAGCCCAGAGAAAUUUGGAUUAAUGCUCCAUGGUAUUGAGAUAUCACCUGAUAUUUUAAUUAAAACUACGGUGAUGAAAGAUGAGCAUGCGUCUUAUUAGCUAGUUGGUACGGUAACGGCGUACCAAGGCGACGAUAAGUAGGGGUCCUGAGAGGGAGAUCCCCCACACUGGUACUGAGACACGGACCAGACUCCUACGGGAGGCAGCAGUGAGGAAUAUUGGACAAUGGGCGCAAGCCUGAUCCAGCCAUGCCGCGUGCAGGAAGACUGCCCUAUGGGUUGUAAACUGCUUUUAUACAGGAAGAAUAAGGAGUACGUGUACUUUGAUGACGGUACUGUAUGAAUAAGCAUCGGCUAACUCCGUGCCAGCAGCCGCGGUAAUACGGAGGAUGCAAGCGUUAUCCGGAAUCAUUGGGCUUAAAGGGUCCGUAGGCGGAUUAAUAAGUCAGUGGUGAAAGUCUGCCGCUCAACGGUAGAAUUGCCCAUUGAUACUGUUAGUCUUGAAU